UGGGGAAUAUUGCACAAUGGGCGCAAGCCUGAUGCAGCCAUGCCGCGUGUAUGAAGAAGGCCUUCGGGUUGUAAAGUACUUUCAGUCGGGAGGAAGGUGGUAAGGUUAAUAACCUUAUCAAUUGACGUUACCGACAGAAGAAGCACCGGCUAACUCCGUGCCAGCAGCCGCGGUAAUACGGAGGGUGCAAGCGUUAAUCGGAAUUACUGGGCGUAAAGCGCACGCAGGCGGUUGAUUGAGUCAGAUGUGAAAUCCCCGGGCUUAACCCGGGAAUUGCAUCUGAUACUGGUCAGCUAGAGUCUUGUAGAGGGGGGUAGAAUUCCAUGUGUCGCGGUGAAAUGCGUAGAGAUGUGGAGGAAUACCGGUGGCGAAGGCGGCCCCCUGGACAAAGACUGACGCUCAGGUGCGAAAGCGUGGGGAGCAAACAGG
Molecule: ribosomal RNA, 429 nt
Filed under: Chloroflexota bacterium
Lineage: Bacteria; Bacillati; Chloroflexota
Description: Chloroflexi bacterium partial 16S ribosomal RNA
Rfam family: Bacterial small subunit ribosomal RNA
Source: RNAcentral